CCAGACUCCUACGGGAGGCAGCAGUGAGGAAUAUUGGUCAAUGGGCGUAAGCCUGAACCAGCCAAGUAGCGUGCAGGAUGACGGCCCUAUGGGUUGUAAACUGCUUUUUAAGGUGAAUAAAGAGGGGCACGCGUGCCCUGUUGCAUGUAGCCUUGGAAUAAGGACCGGCUAAUUCCGUGCCAGCAGCCGCGGUAAUACGGAAGGUCCGGGUGUUAUCCGGAUUUAUUGGGUUUAAAGGGAGCGUAGGCCGCAGGUUAAGUGUGUUGUGAAAAGCAGUCGCCCAACGUCUGCCUUGCAGCGCAAACUGUCCUGCUUGAGUGCGCACAACGCAGGCGGAAUUCGUCGUGUAGCGGUGAAAUGCUUAGAUAUGACGAAGAACUCCGAUUGCGAAGGCAGCUUGCGGGAGCGCAACUGACGCUGAAGCUCGAAAGUGCGGGUAUCGAACAGGAUUAGAUACCCUGGUAGUCCGCACGGUAAACGCUGGAUGCCCGUUUUUGGCUUAUUUUAAGUCAGAGACCAAGCGAAAGCAUUAAGCAUCCCACCUGGGGAGUACGCCGGCAACGGUGAAACUCAAAGGAAUUGACGGGGGCCCGCACAAG
Molecule: ribosomal RNA, 599 nt
Filed under: uncultured bacterium
Lineage: Bacteria
Description: bacterial SSU rRNA
Rfam family: Bacterial small subunit ribosomal RNA
Source: RNAcentral